AACGAACGCUGGCGGCAUGCCUAACACAUGCAAGUCGAACGAGACCUUCGGGUCUAGUGGCGCACGGGUGCGUAACGCGUGGGAACCUGCCCUUAGGUUCGGAAUAACUCCCCGAAAGGGGUGCUAAUACCGGAUAAUGUCUUCGGACCAAAGAUUUAUCGCCUUUGGAUGGGCCCGCGUUGGAUUAGCUAGUUGGUAGGGUAAAAGCCUACCAAGGCGUCGAUCCAUAGCUGGUCUGAGAGGAUGAUCAGCCACACUGGGACUGAGACACGGCCCAGACUCCUACGGGAAGCAGCAGUGGGGAAUAUUGGACAAUGGGCGAAAGCCUGAUCCAGCAAUGCCGCGUGAGUGAUGAAGGCCUUAGGGUUGUAAAGCUCUUUUACCCGGGAUGAUAAUGACAGUACCGGGAGAAUAAGCUCCGGCUAACUCCGUG
This 433-nucleotide ribosomal RNA is filed under the name uncultured bacterium. RNAcentral describes it as "partial 16S ribosomal RNA". It matches the Rfam family "Bacterial small subunit ribosomal RNA", at positions 29 to 507 of the family's 1533-position model. The record is from RNAcentral.